RNAcentral lists this small nucleolar RNA (92 nucleotides) under Alligator mississippiensis (American alligator). Its description in RNAcentral is "Small nucleolar RNA U3". It matches the Rfam family "Small nucleolar RNA U3". Rfam says of the family: Small nucleolar RNAs (snoRNAs) are involved in the processing and modification of rRNA in the nucleolus. There are two main classes of snoRNAs: the box C/D class, and the box H/ACA class. U3 snoRNA is a member of the box C/D class. Lineage: Eukaryota; Metazoa; Chordata; Crocodylia; Alligatoridae. The record is from Rfam by way of RNAcentral.
UAGACUGUACUUUCAGGGAUCAUUUCUGUAGUUGGUGACUAGAGAAGUGUAUCCAAAAGUGAUUGUCUAUGAACAUUUUUUCUAUGCAAUGU